UACAGAGGGGGCAAGCGUUGUUCGGAAUUACUGGGCGUAAAGGGCGCGUAGGCGGCCCGCUAAGUCGAACGUGAAAUCCCCGAGCUCAACUCGGGAACUGCGUCCGAUACUGGUGGGCUUGAAUCCGGGAGAGGGAUGCGGAAUUCCAGGUGUAGCGGUGAAAUGCGUAGAUAUCUGGAGGAACACCGGUGGCGAAGGCGGGACUCUGGGCCGAUACUGACGCUGAGGAGCGAAAGCGUGGGGAGCAAACAGG
Molecule: ribosomal RNA, 253 nt
Filed under: uncultured bacterium
Lineage: Bacteria
Description: partial 16S ribosomal RNA
Rfam family: Bacterial small subunit ribosomal RNA
Source: RNAcentral